CCUACGGGUGGCAGCAGUGGGGAAUAUUGGGCAAUGAGCGCAAGCCUGACCCAGCAACGCCGCGUGAAGGAAGAAGGCUUUCGGGUUGUAAACUUCUUUUAAGAGGGAAGAGCAGAAGACGGUACCUCUUGUAUAAGCCACGGCUAACUACGUGCCAGCAGCCGAGGUAAUACGUGGGGUGCGAGCGUUAAUCGGAAUUACUGGGCGUAAAUCUCUCGUAGUCGUUAUGUCAAGUCAAGGGUGAAAUCCCCGCGCUAAAAGUGGGACCUGCCUUUGAAACUAGCAAACGAGAGUGUGAUAGAGGAUAGCGGAAUUCCAGGUGAAGGAGUGAAAUGCGUAGAUAUAUGGAAGAACACCAGUGGCGAAGGCGACUAUCUGGCUCAUAACUGACGCUGAGGGGCGAAAGCGUGGGUAGCAAACAGGAUUAGAUACCCGGGUAGUC
This 442-nucleotide ribosomal RNA is filed under the name uncultured bacterium. RNAcentral's name for it is "partial 16S ribosomal RNA". It matches the Rfam family "Bacterial small subunit ribosomal RNA", at positions 338 to 795 of the family's 1533-position model. The record is from RNAcentral.